RNAcentral lists this ribosomal RNA (524 nucleotides) under uncultured Alphaproteobacteria bacterium. RNAcentral describes it as "bacterial SSU rRNA". It matches the Rfam family "Bacterial small subunit ribosomal RNA", at positions 355 to 897 of the family's 1533-position model. Lineage: Bacteria; Pseudomonadati; Pseudomonadota; Alphaproteobacteria. The record is from RNAcentral.
UGGGGAAUCUUGGACAAUGGGGGCAACCCUGAUCCAGCGAUGCCGCGUGAGCGAAGAAGGCCUUAGGGUUGUAAAGCUCUUUCGCCCACGACGAUGAUGACGGUAGUGGGAGAAGAAGCCCCGGCUAACUCCGUGCCAGCAGCCGCGGUAAUACGGAGGGGGCUAGCGUUGUCCGGAAUUACUGGGCGUAAAGCGCGCGUAGGCGGUCCACCAAGUCGGGGGUGAAAGCCCGGGGCUCAACCCCGGAAUGUCCUCCGAGACUGAUGGACUGGAGUUCGGGAGAGGAGAGCGGAAUUCCCAGUGUAGAGGUGAAAUUCGUAGAUAUUGGGAAGAACACCGGUGGCGAAGGCGGCUCUCUGGCCCGCAACUGACGCUGAGGCGCGAAAGCGUGGGGAGCAAACAGGAUUAGAUACCCUGGUAGUCCACGCCGUAAACGAUGGACGCUAGACGUCGGGGGGCAUGCCCUUCGGUGUCGCAGCUAACGCAUUAAGCGUCCCGCCUGGGGAGUACGGCCGCAAGGUUAA